GACGAACGCUGGCGGCGUGCCUAAUACAUGCAAGUAGAACGCUGAAGAGAGGAGCUUGCUCUUCUUGCAUGAGUUGCGAACGGGUGAGUAAAGCGUAGGUAACCUGCUUUGUAACGGGGGAGAACUAUUGGAAACGAUAGCUAAUACCGCAUAACAACGGAUGACACAUGUCAUUUAUUUGAAAGGGGCAAUUGCUCCACUACAAGAUGGACCUGCGUUGUAUUAGCUAGUAGGUGAGGUAAUGGCUCACCUAGGCGACGAUACAUAGCCGACCUGAGAGGAUGAUCGGCCACACUGGGACUGAGACACGGCCCAGACUCCUACGGGAGGCAGCAGUAGGGAAUCUUCCGCAAUGGGGGCAAGCCUGACCGAGCCACGCCGCGUGAGUGAAGAAGGUUUUCGGGUCGUAAAGCUCUGUCGUAAGGGAAGAACGGGUGUGAGGGGGGAAAGUACACGCUGUGACGGUAGCAUACAAGGAAGCAACGGCUAACUACGUG
This 497-nucleotide ribosomal RNA is filed under the name uncultured bacterium. RNAcentral's name for it is "partial 16S ribosomal RNA". It matches the Rfam family "Bacterial small subunit ribosomal RNA", at positions 28 to 507 of the family's 1533-position model. The record is from RNAcentral.